This 67-nucleotide transfer RNA is filed under the name Candidatus Nesterenkonia stercoripullorum. It matches the Rfam family "tRNA". Rfam says of the family: Transfer RNA (tRNA) molecules are approximately 80 nucleotides in length. Their secondary structure includes four short double-helical elements and three loops (D, anti-codon, and T loops). The record is from RNAcentral. Lineage: Bacteria; Bacillati; Actinomycetota; Actinomycetes; Micrococcales; Micrococcaceae.
GGUGUAGCUCAGCUUGGUAGAGUGCUCGCUUUGGGAGCGAGAGGCCGCAGGUUCAAAUCCUGUCACC